UACGUAGGGUGCGAGCGUUAAUCGGAAUUACUGGGCGUAAAGGGUGCGCAGGCGGCCUUGUAAGUCAGAUGUGAAAGCCCCGGGCUUAACCUGGGAAUUGCGUUUGAAACUACAAAGCUAGAGUGCAGCAGAGGGGAGUGGAAUUCCAUGUGUAGCAGUGAAAUGCGUAGAGAUGUGGAAGAACACCGAUGGCGAAGGCAGCUCCCUGGGUUGACACUGACGCUCAUGCACGAAAGCGUGGGGAGCAAACAGGAUUAGAUACCCUGGUAGUCCACGCCCUAAACGAUGUCAACUAGUUGUCGGGCCUAAUUGAGGGUUUGGUAACGUAGCUAACGCGUGAAGUUGACCGCCUGGGGAGUACGAUCGCAAGAUUAAAACUCAAAG
RNAcentral lists this ribosomal RNA (384 nucleotides) under uncultured bacterium. RNAcentral describes it as "bacterial SSU rRNA". It matches the Rfam family "Bacterial small subunit ribosomal RNA", at positions 524 to 906 of the family's 1533-position model. The record is from RNAcentral.